AAGUUCUUGGCCAAGGUUCCAGGUAUGAAGAUGGAGAUAAUUAUAUAAGACAGUUGAGAAAUGAGUUGGGACCAGGCAAGCAAACCAAAUUGGACUUAGCCUGAGCCCUUCGUAGCUUCAAGAGAACUGUCUUCAUUAAGGCCCCACAUGUAAGGAAACAGGUAGUCUGUUGUCGAUUCCUCCUGUUUGAGUCUCUUGUCCCCAGCCUCUUACUCAAUGAACUUGCCACCAGCAGAGAAGCAGGUGGGUAACUUUUGCCUUUAUGAGAUAGAAAGCUGAAGUGGUUUUUGUUGCCUAUUGUUUGGUGAUUUUUGGCUCCUCAUGCACAGACAGAAAGUAAUUAUAAUUUGGUUUGUUUUUCUUCUUUCAAAGCAUAUGUUUGACCUGCUUAUGCUUUUCUUUAGAGCUGCAAUGUUAAUACAGCUGUACUUGCAGAACAAUGUUAGCUCCUAAUAGUCUUCUGCUGCACACUAAAAAGAACCCCAGAGUAAAAAGAUGUACAAUUAAGGAGUUGUGGAUAUUUUCAUAGUCUUCUCACAUGUUAAUAGAGUCCUAAACAAGAUGCUAUUUCGCACAUUGUAUGUUCUUCAUUCAAUAUUAUUAAUUAAUUAAAUGCAGUUUAAUAAGUCCCUACUUUGCCCCUGGAAAUGCAUGUUGGAGGAAAAUUUAUUAUGUAGCCAGGAGAUAUUAAAAAUACAAUAGUACUUACAGCAUUAGCUGGAAGAUAAAAAAAGAGAUGCUAUGGGUUACAGGUGCGGAGGUAUUUAUUCCUGAGAUAUCAGGGAAGGCUACAUGAAAGUGUUAAUUGGGCUGAUUCUUGAAAGCUAAGGGAAUUUGGAAAUUAGAGGGUUGGGGAUGAGGCAUGAAUGUCCAGUGGGGGAGGACAACUUUGAGUAAACGUUCAGAGGCGGGAAACUAUAGUAAGAGAAACACAAGUUGUCCUGUUUUGUUGGCAUGUAGCAAAAGCGAGGCAGAGAAAUGGAAAGUACAGAGUGGGGCUAGCUUGCAGUAUGUUUCGGAUGCUGGAUUAGUGGGAAGCCACUGGAAGAUUUUGAGGGGAACGGCAUAAGCAGAGCUAUGCUUUGGAAAGAGUAACCUGUGUUUAGGAUGGAUUCGCCUUUAGGUGAUGUUGAAAACAGGGAACUCGGGAGACUAUUGCAGUGAUCUAGAUCUGAAAGAGGGAGGCUGUGACUUCCCAGGGUGGUGGGAGAAACAGGCAGGAAGACAGGGAUGGGAAAUAGUAAUGGGUGUAUAUAACUGCUUUGAUAUUGUGAGUUGUGGUCGUUGUCGUUGUGUUUUUAUUUUAAAGAGAAAGAGUGCGUGCGUGUGGGGAGCGGGGCAGAGGGAGAGAGAGAGAAUCCCAAUGGGCUCCACACUGAGUGUGGAGAGUAUUUUCUCUCAAUUGGCCUCAAUUCUGACCCUACUAAGGUCUUGAGAAUCUAGAAUGACAGUAGAAAAUCUAAUCCAAACUCAGGUCAGUGUGAUCAGUCUCUGCUCCACAUCCCUUCUCCCCACCAAGAAUUCAAGAUGGCUUAGAAUCAACGGUGGAUUCUAAUGCAUUGCUAGGACAACUCAGCCUUCAGGCCAACACAAGACCCUGGAAACAACUUCAGAUCCCUUCUAGAGAGGGAUCUGGAUGUUUAGGUUGGGUCAGAGCUUAACUGGGCAUUGUAGGUAGAGAGGAAGGGGUGGCAGGUGGAAAGGAAUCUCUCAGGACCCCAGAGCUGCUGUUCUUAGGCCUGAAAUGGACUUCUCCUAUUUUGUUUGCUUGGCAAUUCUCUGAUAUUCUGAAAAACUUCCAUGAAAAGAGGCUGUGUGCCACCUUGGCUAAUAGUGUGUGUUCUGGAGAUCCCCAAUGUGAGUUCCAAUUCUGUCCCUCUAGCUGUGUGGCUUCAGACAACUAUCCUAACCUCCAGGUGCCUUCCUUCUCGUAGCCACAAAAUAGGAUACAAUAGUCCCCUUUUAUUUGUGCUUUUACUUUCUAUGGUUUCAGUUACUCGUGGUUGGGAAGCAGGUGACCCUCCUUCUGAUGCAGUGUAGAAAGUCAAUGGUAUCCUAACACUACGUCUCAGUGUCUACGUCAUUCUCCUCACGUCAUCUCAUCACAUAGUCGUUUAAUCACCUCACAUCAUCACAAGAGGAAGGGUGAGUAGAGUAGGAUAUUUAGAGAGAGAGACCACAUUUAUAUAAUUUUUAUUAUAGUAUGUUGUCAUAAUUGUUCCAUUUCAUUAUUGUUGUUCAUCUCUUACCGUGUCUAAUUUAUAAAUUAAAUUUUAUCAUAGGUAUGUGUUUACAGGCAAAAGCAUAAUGUAGAUAGGGUUCAGUACUAUCUGUGGUUUCAGGCAUCCACUGGGGCUCUUGGGAUAUAUCCCCCACGGAUAAGGGGAGACAACUGUAAUAGGCCUUACCUCACGAGGAUGGUGUAAGGAUCACCCAGAAAACAUCGGAACACUGUUUAGUUCCUGACCACUUUACACCCUCAGCACUAAGGGGUUAGGCCUCUGUUCCUCAGUGUCCUCACAGAGCUGUGCCCUACUCUCUGUCAAAUACCACACAGUAUUCUUUUUUUAUGUUUAUUUAAUUUUUAGAGAGAGAGAGAGAGAGAGAGAGGUGGGGGGAGGGACAGAGAGAGAGAGAGGGAGACAGAGGAUCCCAAGUGGGCUCUGUGCUGACAACAGAGAGCCCAAUGUGGGGCUCAAACCCAUGAACCGUGAGAUCCUGACCUGAUCCAAAGUCACAUGCUUAACUGACUGAGCCACCCAGGCGCCCCAAUAUUCUUUGUUUCCAUUUUUGUCUUUUCACUAGACCAUGAGCAUCUUGAGGGCCAGUACAGUAAUGCCAAUAUCCCAUGCUUGAAGUCUAACAACAUAGCAAGAACAGUGCUCACUCAUUACAAAUGAGAAGGCUGAGACCUGACAGGUUAGUUAGUCAAGCACCACAUACCUAGUAAGCAACAGACCAGGAUUAGAAGCUGGGUAUGUUGAGUUGCUUUCUCCGUAACUGUCCUGUAGUAUCUUAAUCGUAGUCACCUUUGCACCCCCUGGGCCAGGUGCAAUGCCCAGCCUGAAUUAGAUGCUCAUUUAAAGCCUGGGAGAUGUGUUUGGUGGAUUUGACCCCAUGCGUGGUUAAAUUUGAACACAUCUCAUGACUUCCGACGGAUAGUGCUAAGUCACUGAAAGCAUUGAGAGGAACUAUGGCCCCAGUUUCACAACCCUUUGACUUUCAGACUUGGCAGGUAAUGCCAUCCUCUUUUCUUACAUGGGGGAGGGGAGAGGAGGAUGAGUCAUGAAGGGUAGGCUAAUUGUUCAAGAAUUCCUGAUCCCAGACUAGUUCUCAGGUCUUUCUACCGAGGACAACUAUCCUUGAAUUAGGGCAGAAUUUUUAAAAAUCUCUUAUUAGACUCUCACAUAAACAAUGCUAUUCACACUAAUACUGAUUCAUUCAAAAAGAAAGCUGUUUGUUAUGCUACCGGCUAAUAAGUGAAUUUAUUUAAGAGUAAAAUAAAACAGAGGGUGGCAGUCAACUUCAUAGCAUUUGUCUCAUUCAAUUACAUUUAUGCAUUCAAGAGAUCAUUAUUGUGCAUCUAUUAUAUGGCAGCCACCAGGCACAGCACAAUGUUCUAGGAAAUAGUAUAAAAAUCCUCCUGCCAGGGUUUGCCCUGAAAGAACAACCAAAAUAAUUCAAAGGACUUCUUUUUUUUAAAGAAGUGGUUUAUAUCAAGGGGUAUGUACCAAGUGAAAAGAACCCUGGACUUGUAAUCAGAAGCAGAGGACUACAACCCCAGCUCUGUUUCACAGUAAUAAAAUUUGGAGUUUACUAAACAUGUACUCAGUGGCAGGUAUUGUGCAAAGCCUUCUCGUUUAUUUUGAAAAUCUCAUUAAUUUUGAAAAUAGUUUUAGAUUUCAUUAACACAAAAAUUGUAUAUAUUUAAGAUGUACAACUGAUUUUUUUUUUGUUUUGUUUUUUUACUUUGAGAGAGAGAGAAAGCAGGGGAGGGGCAGAGAGAGAGGGAGACAGAGAAUCCCAAACAGUCUUCAUGCUAUCAGUGCAAAGCCCAACGUGGUGCUUGAACUUGAAAUCUGAGAUCAUGACCUGAGCUGAAAUCAAGAGUCAGAUACUUAACCAACUGAGCUACCCAUGCGUCUUCCCAAUUGAUGUCUUGAUAUACAUAUACAUACAAUGUGAAAUGAUUAUCACAGUCAAGAUAAAUAACAUGUCCAUUACCUCUGUGCAGUUACCAUGGUACGUGUGUCUGUGUUAAGAGUAAAGAUCUAUUCUCUUAGCAAAUUAUAAGUAUACGAUACAACUGUUGUCACCAUGCUGUAAGUUAGAUCUGCACUAUUGGUCCUGCAUAAUUGACACUUUGUACCCCUUGACCAACAUCACCCCAUUUUCCUCUUUCCUCAGCCUAUGAAUCUGACUGUUUUAGAUUCCACAUAUAAGUGAGAUCAUGCAAUAUUUCCUUUUCGUGUCUUCCUUAUUUCACUUGGCAAAAUGUCCUCCAGGUUGCUUCACAGUGCAAAUGCCAGGCUUGCUUUCUUUCUUUCUUUCUUUCUUUCUUUCUUUCUUUCUUUCUUUUUGUAAAGACUGAAUAAUUUCUAUUUUAUAUACAUGUAAAUUCCAUCACACACAUAUAAUUUCCAUUAUAUAUAUUUUUCAUGUUAUCUAUUUAUCCAUUAUCUAUCUAUAUGACUCUUUAUUCAUUCAUCUGUCAAAUGACAUUUUAGUUUUUUUUCCAUAUACAAAGCCUUCUUAUCUUUUUUUGUUUAAGCUCUGUGAUCUGGGACAAAUCUCUUACACAACCUGAGCCUCAGUUUCCCAUUUGUGAAGUGGGGUAGUAAUUCUGUAUCUGUCUAUGUCACUGGGUUGUUCUGAGGAUUAAAGGAAAUAAUAUGAAUGUGAAAGUUCCUUGUAUACUUACAUUUUUAUAAUAAACUUGUUUUUAUUACCACAACUUAGAUGUUCUUAUAGUUUAUACUUUUUUUUCCUGGUUUCUUAGGUUUCUUAUUCUGCUAAUAAAAUGAUUUUAGGUUCUUGGUCACAUGUUUCUUCUAUGAGGCCAAUAUCUAUACUAACUUGGCUAUUUACUUAUAAAUAUGAAGUUUAAUAUAUUAAAUUUUCUUAAUGUGGGCAGUAAAGAAGAGAGGGCAGAAGAGACAGAGAGAAAAAUGAUAUAAAUCAAAUGGAAGCAAAAGAAUCAGUCCUUUCCUCCAUCAAAGUCAGGGACAAGGUGAAGGUCUGGGAUGAUGACCCAGAUUUAGAAAUAAGCCUUAUUCAGGAAAAAAGUUCUGCAAAUGGAGAUUAGCUAAAAAAGAAGGAAGGGUAUGUUAGAUAUUUAUUUUUAUCAGCAAGAUUUAAAAUAAUUAUCCAUUUUGAUUCAGAUGUAUUCUAACUUUUCAGACUAGUAUUUGACAUCAGAAUACAAGGGUUUGAAUUGUUAGCUAAUUUUCCUGCUUGAUUUUUUGAUUCCAAACUGGAUUGUAAAUUUUGAAGAGAAGGGGGAUGUAAUUUGUAUUUCUUCACAUCACUCUCUAAGCUCGGCAGAGGUCUGAUUUCUGGUGGAUGGAAUGAUCAAUUUAUGGCAAAUAUUUUCUGUAGAGCGGUGUUCAAUGUUCCAAGCAUCAGCAUCACUAUUUUCUUAAUUAAAAUGUAGGAUUAUUAGCCUUCUAUACAUGGAAGCAGUUAAUUUAUUUCAAGUGUGAGGAGGUGAGAGCUAAAAUCCUGAACGUGAAAGUCUUGAAAACUGAAUGGCAUGACUUUGGGAAAAUUAAUCAAAUGGACUUUAGGAUAGUAUUCAAACAGCCACUAUGUUCUUGGAGUUUGCAUAAUUAAAACUUAGAAAUUUAUGCCUAGCAUCUAGGCUUUUCCUGCUCAAAUGCAGCAAAGCCAUCACCCACUCUUGCCAAAGUUGUCAUUCUGAGCUUAAAUCAAACAUGGGCUCUGUUUCAAGUGACUGUGCCCUCCCGGCAUGGUUCCAUCACGGCUCAGAUCUCCACGGCUUGCACUUUGACUGGCUCUGGUGCAGAGAGAGGAAAGUUUACAUCUGCAUAGCAAGUAGGAAGGUGUCUUUUGAUUCCAUGUCCAGGGAUUGAUUAAUUCUGUAUAAUUGCAUUGAGGAACUACUGAGAGAUCGGCCCCAAGGAUGGAGUCUGCAUGCAUUCUUCUGCCUUCUCUCUGCCUCAGAAACAGGUCACUUUUAACUCGUACACUGUGAAGUUGCUAUUAGGUCACCCUUGGUCCAAAGCACAGGUCAACCUGACAUGUCACCACUGCUUAUGUUGAACAACUGCUCAGAGUGGCUCGUUCAUAAUUCAUGCAUCUGAAAAGUGGAUUGUCUGUAUUUAGUUUGCUGAUUUUCAAUCCUGUUUCUGAUAUUUUCAUGGCAGAACCUAAAAGCCUUACGUUCCAUUAGACUAUUCCUUAUAUAAAUCACUUUUUCUCUUGCAAAUCAGUGUCCUCAAAGGAAUUCCUUUUGGUCUAGUAACACUUAAAGUAAAUGGACGUGAUAUAGUAUAUUUUCCCCUGAAUUCUAUAAAAUGCCACCUAUGAAAAUGUCACCUACUCCCCACCCACAUGGCUUCCCUUUCAUCUUUCUCAAAUCCACAUGUUGUUUAGCAUAAGAAGUUACCAACCAACACUUGAGUUGAUAAGGUGAGGUACAUAAGCUUCCUGAAUCUACCAUUGCUCAUAACACUGGAAUAUCAUAUACUAAGACUGUACAUUCCAAAGUGGGAUAAUUUUGACUAAACCUAUUCCUUUGAAAGCAAUUAAUCAGACAGUAUUUUUCUUAAUUCCCCUUGGCUGUUAUUUCUACCUUGCUGCUGAGUUCCCAGGAAAUAGACCUUUGAGGUGAGAUGAUUUUUGCUCAAUGAACAGGCUGGUGGUGCUGAAUAAUUUCAGGUUUCUUUGGACAUUUUGGGAUGACCAGAUGUUAUAUGUUUUCAGGUUGUCCUUUGUCUCUAAUUGAAGGUCAUCCAAACUUUGAAAUCUCAUGAGGAAAUCUAAUGGUUUUCUUAAACAUAACUAGAAGACAUCAGCUCCUGCCAGUUUCAUUAGGAAAUAAGCUAUUAUGUUGAUCUCCUUACAAAACCUCUGGUUUCUGAGAAGUUUCUCUCCCUGUGGUGCUUUGGAAAGGUCUGCCGCUUGUCAAGAGUGAUCAAUCUUGAUUCCUGAAAAGCUGUGGCUGGAAUUCUAAUGCCAACAUGCCAUGAACUGGUUUUCUGCAUUAAAAAGUCUAAGCGGAUGUCAUCUCGACAAAAAUGGUAAUAUAGAGACUUUGUGAUUAAAUAGAUUUUUGAUGUUAAGUGGCGAUUCAUGCCAUAAACAAUUGACAACUCAAAAAUGAGAAUACAAGCCUCUCGAAUUUUAACUUGUUUUAACAAAGGAUUUAGUUGAAAACCAAGUACUGGCAAAUUCAACAUCCUUUUAGAAAUUACUUUUGCAUGUACUUGGACUCAACCAAAUUUUCAACUCUGUAUCUCCACUCCGAACCAAUUAGAAUAUUUUGGUAAUUGUAUGAUUAGAAGUAUUAGGCUUUCACUGUACAUACUGAUGUAAAAUGAGUAAAAGUUGGAUUAAAAAUUGGAAGUAAAGAGGGGUGCCUGAGUGGCUCACUUGGUUAGGCAUUUGACUCUUGAUUUUUGCUCAGGUCAUAAUCUCAUGGUUUGUGAGAUUGAGCCUUGCAUCAGGCUCUGUGAUGACAGUGCACAGCCUGCUUGAGAUUCUCUCUCCCUCUCUCUCUGCCCCUCCCCUGCUCUCUUUCUCUCUCUCUCUCUCUCUCUCUGUCAAGAUAAAUAAAUAAACUUAAAGAAAUUAAAGACUAGUUUCAAGAUUGUAUUACUAGAAUUACAAAUAUAAGGAUAAGGUAAAAGGCAAUUUAAUAUUCCUUGGUAUUAUAAGAAAUAAGAAAAUUGUGGGAUAAUAAUCAUUAGCACUAGCAGUAUGGUAGGUUUUUUACAUGGAUUAUCUGGCUUACUCCCCAAAGCAGCACCAUAAUGCAGUUUCCAUCAUUGUUUCCAUAUUAUAGCAAAAAAAUUGAGGUCCAAAGAGUUUAGUAAAGAUGCAUGGAUUCUAGAGCCCAUCACUUAACCAUGGUAAUUCUGAAUUAAAGAGAAGCAUUCCCAGUGAUAGGCCUAAAGGGAGAAGGGUGUAGGAAAGUAGGAGGUUAUUAAUUUUUCACAAGAUUUAAAAAAAGAACAUGAAUCAGAACCACAAAAUUUAUAAACAAUGGAUGCAAUAUUUCCAAAAGAGUGGAGAAUUGAAGGCUUCCUGAGAAGUGCAGUUCUUUAUAUCGUUAAACUUUUCAGCUUUGCAGAGCAACAGCAAAUAACAGUGACCCUAGAAAGAAUUCAGUAACCUCUAAGGUGGCCCUAGAAGCCUUUAAAGCACGUUAAAGCACUGAUUCAAAGUAAUUUUACAGUAGCAAGUAUACAAAAUGCCUGUGUUUGCAUACAUCUUGGUUGACCCUUAAUUCACACUUGGUUUCCAAUUAAAGGGCAAGAGUUCAACUUGGUUAGUGUGACCAAGACUGAUGAUAUAAAUGUAUAGCAACUAUUGAGAGUUAAGGACUCACCUUGGCCUUGGUGACUUGUCAGGAAGAGCAGCUCAGCUCUAAGAAGCUAGAAGACACAGUAUGUAACAAGUCUUUCUAGGGUGUCCAGACAUUUCUUCCUUCUACUCUCUGGGCCACGUUUGGGGUUAUCUGGGUCAGGUCUUCUUUUUUCCUUUCUAAAUUCCACUGUUCAUUGCAGAAAUCAGGUGUUACUCUGCCCAAUUGUGCUUCCUUUCAUUUUUCAGUUUUCUACUCUUGUCUUUACAAGAUCAUGGUCCAGUGUAUUAGACAAAGAGAGGGCCUGUUUUCUCUCUGACAUGAAUCUGUUUCUUUUAGCCCACCAUCCCCCCAACACAUACACACACACACACACACACACACACACACACACUCCUUGGUAAGGUUAUUUGGAAGCGGUCUCAGAAAAGAUGACUGGCUGCAGCUCUCCAUAUACUUAACACCCAGCUGCUCAUCACUUUUGUACUAAAUAGGAAGAAAUCCACUUGUUUUCAUACUUACUGGGCUUUCUUGAAUAUAAUAUUUAUCUUUUAAUCUAAACACAUACAUUCUUUCCAAUUUUCUGAAUCCUUGGGAAAUAUUAUGAGGGUUUUCACCGAGCAAGAUGUUAGGCAGAAUGUGGGUAAUGGGUUCAAAUACAAUGAAAAUAUGUUCAGAUAGCAUUUAUUCUGAACAUUAAAUAUAACAUUUUUUGAGUACCUACAUGUGUUCAUGCACUGAGGAAACACUGACAAAGUAAAGGGCUUAGCUGUGUUACUCAAGACAGAGUAUCAGAUAAAACACACACACACACACACACAGGGAAGACUCAAGACUCACCUCUGACCUAAUUGGGACACUUUACCCAUGUGUAUUUAGUUAGAGCCAAAUGUCUGGCACAACCAGGGAAAAUAUAAAAAUAUUUCUACCAUCUAAGAGGAAACAUUUGUUACUUAAUUUUUCUCUUACAAUUUUAAAGAUUAUAAGGGCAGGUAUGCCCAUGAUGAAAUUAGCAGAUCUGUGUGAGCUCCGUGUUCCAGGGACCUGUGACCUAACUUUCUACAUUCACAAGAGCUGAGCUCUGCUGAGGCUUGCACUUCCCUGACAAAGACAGACUAUUCCAUUCUCACUCCUCGUGACUGUGUACAUGUUCCUGACUCCUCAUUAUGUCAGACCACCCCGAAGCCACAAGCUGGGGCCACCUCUCCUUUGACUCCCAACUGAAUGGUCUCUAUGGAAUCAUCUUUCACUGAGUGUGUAAAACUAUCCAUAGGUGGCACACCUCUUCAUAUCUGCUUAAAGUCCUUGGAGGGACACCCUCCAUUACUAUAUACCAAGUCAUCAAUAUCAUACCAUAUCACCCCCAUUAUCAUACCAUAUCAUCUAUAUUAUACUACCAUAUCAUACCAGUAUCAUCCUCCAUUAUAUAUAUCAUAUCAUAUCAUAUCAUAUCAUAUCAUAUCUCAUCAUUAUCAUGAUCAUGAUAAGAGAGUCCUAUUUAUGUACCCAAUGCCAGGAAAAAUGUUUUUCUUCCCAGGGAAUUUUCCUAGAGAUAAUGAAUGCUAUAAUUAUUCUGUUACCCUUUGCCCUGUCUGCUAGGAAGUUGAGAUCUCAGUUUUGCUCAAUUACUUUGUGUAAUUGUUCUCCUUUCCUCCUCCUUUACUAUGUAGUUUUUGUCUUUCAUCUUGACAGAAUAGUUUUAUGUCUUUGUGUUCUUAUGUUUUAUUGUGACUUUCUUAUAAGCUUAAAAAUCUUUUUGGAAAUAGGUAGAUGUCUAAAUAGUUCUUGUCCUCAAAGUUUUUUUUUUAAUUUUAAAUUUCCAUGUUAUGUAAUUUAAUUUAAUCUCUUAUGUCAUUCUCUAAACAGCUUAUACCUGUGCCUCUGCUUAUUAUCUAAUGGUUAAAUUCUCUAGUUCUAUUUCUGAAGUUAUGAAAACUUAGAGGGGAGUAUAUGCCCCAUGCAAUUUAUAUCUAACCAACCCAUAAGUAUUUUGUUAUGGGGGGCAGUGGAGGUAGUGGUGGCCAAGGAAAGGUGAUAAUAAUGAUGGCUGCUGUUACUGAAUCCUUUAGCGUAUUUUGGAGAUGGCAAUGUGUCCUUUAGCACAUUAUCAAAGACAAAGUACAGCUAUCACUUAGUUGUCAAGAUUGGAAAAGUUAAACUUUAGGAAGCAAACUCCUUUUGAAACAAGCCAGAGUCAGUUUUUUUUCAUGCCUUAUCAACAGUCAGCUUCAUCCAGAGUGUAUGAUGCACGAAGCCAGCUGAAUUAGCUAUAAGACCAAUUUAGAAGUUCUGUGUAAUGCCUUUGAAUACCUUAAUGUUGACACUAAACUCAUAAUUCACAAUUUCAGGAUAUGCUUCUUGUGGGGAAGAGAAGAGGGCAGGGGCAAAACAACAAUGUGCAAGUUCAAAGGGGUUGAAGAUGCACUUCGGGUAUUUGGAUUGGCACUCCGGAGCUCACGGAUGCUUGUGAUUGCUUAUCUGACUUAUCUAAACUGCUGACGUCAAAAGAAUUAGGCUAGAAAUCUUAUGAUUACAGCUUUUCUUGUGAUCUUUUCUGGUAUUUCCUGUUUCCUGUCAGGCCAAAUAUACUUCGAGAGAGGGUUAUUUUAUGGCAUUUCACCGUUUCUGCCUCAGCUAGACCCAGAGGUAGAGGAGGCAUGAAGUAAAAAUAAUUAAGAACAGCAGCAGAAAGCUCUGUCUGCCCCCAACAUUCCCACCCCACAGCCACUGAUGUUUCUAACAUCAAAAAAUGUUUCUGUAAUGGUUCAGAGUAGGGUCUUAUUUUUAAUGGAAUAAGGUCUAUUGUUCAUUAAAAAGAAGAAGCCACUUCCAUUGUAUUUCUGUUACCUUAUUUGGGUGGUAAUAAGCAGGCGGGCUGUGAAUGGCAUAAUGCAGGCAGCUAAGAAGGCUUUUGAGAGGACAGGAGAUAGCUUCAGAGCAAAAAGGAGGAAAACUGGCCACCAAGGCCUAUACGCUUCUUUUGGGAAUACAAACACCUUAUAGAAUCAAGAAAAAUAAAAGUGGCUGCAGAUGAGCUUUAUAAAAUCUUGCCUAAAUGUUGCUAAAUCUUCCAUGUGCUUUCUGAGCUAAACACUAUGUUUGCAAAGAAAGCUUGAGAGGGGUUAAUCCCCAAUGGUUCACGGGCAAACGUACCACAGACCCACGCUUUCAAUGGCCACAUGCACUGGCCCUGCCUGGCCCACCCUCCUGCAACUCUACCUGCAGGCAACCAUGCAGAAAGAAACAUAACUAUUAUAUAGGAUCACAGUAACAUUUCACUUAUAAUGGCUAUAGCAACCAACAGCUACCAUGUCUAUUUAUUUCAUAUAUAACUUCCUUUAACCUCACAAUCCUGUUUAAAUUCUUACAUCUGGUAUUCUUUUCUGGUGGGCAACUACCCUUUUAGUACAAUGCAGCACGCUAGAUGGGAAAUUCACAACCAGAGCUUGGGACUUGUCCAGAACAAUUUAUAAUUCAAGUCUGGGAACAAGAAAAACAUGUGUGUUCACAUACACGCAUGCAUUUAUGGGUGCACGUGUACUUCUUGCUUGUGUAAGAUGGAUACCACACAUAUAACACAAUUGUAGAGAUGUUAGUGCUUUGGAGUGAAAAGGACAGAAAAUGAGAUUUAGAGAGGUUAUCAUGGAGAGAGGCAUUUUUGGAGUUUGACCAUGGCAGGCAGCAUGGCUGAAUCAGUAGCAUGGCUGGGCAUUGAGGGACCUAGAAUUGGCUCCAAGUAUGGUGUGUAACCUCUCUGGGGCUCUCAGUUUUCUCAUCAAAAAACAAAACAAAACAAAACAAAACAACUGCAGUGGUUUAACUAGAUGAACUUAGAGGCACUUUCCUUUAUAAAAUUCAAAGACUUCUCCAUUUUUCCUCUUAUAAUUUUUCAAUGGUUCUACAAAAGUGAAGGUUUCUUGUCCAUAUGCAACCCAGUCCCAUUAAUUCUCUUUGUUUCCCACUAGUUUUUACUUUAAACAUCAUACUAAGUUAACUCGAUUAACCUCCAUUUCUCAAUCGUUUCUUAUGCUUUUCUGCCUUUGUACUUACAUUCACGUUAAUUCCUUCACCAAGAAGGUCAUUUUGUCAUAUCUGUUAAGAUAUUAAUGAUCUUACAGACAUAGCUGUAAGCUAUGUCCACACUAAGCCUUCCUGGGUCCCUCUAGAGAAGGGUGAGUUAACACGGAGUCCUCUGGGGUAUCUAUCACACUAGGUUUGUGUUUGAGUAUGUGGUUUUAUCUAACUCACUACAUUAUAAACUAUAUAAAAAUUACACUUUUCUUAGACAUUUUCUCAUCCAUCCUGUGGCACCUAGCCUUGAACUAAUUGCUUAAAAAACAUGGCAACCUGAAGACAGAAGAAAUACGACUUGGCGAAGUAGGAGGGACAGGCUGUCGUGAAACUGUGAAGAUCAGUUGUGUCAGGUCUUGAAUUUGUGGAAGUGAGGAUCACAGCUGGAAUGGGAGAUCUGGAUGGAAGAACACACGGAAUACACCUCCUUCAGGACAGGUUGGUACCAAGUGGCAAAGCACUUUAACUGGAUGGUUUAUAUAUCAUUUCUUGUAGUUCUGUGUAAAAUACUAUAGCACUUGGGAAAGUUGGUCUGUAAGUUAAAGGGAAAGUAUUCAACAUCUCAAAAUUCUUGAUAUUUACUAAAUAUGGCCAAUGAACACCAAGUUGAUGGUUGGGAAUACAUUAGUAUCUUUACCUCAAGUCUAACUCUCCACCAGCCACUGUUGGUAGGGCAGUCCUUCUAAAAUGUAAACUUUAUCAUGUCACUUCCCACUAAAAUUAUUUGAAGCCUUCUCGUACCUGGAGGAUGUACUCCUUAGAAAGGUAGAUGAGGUCUUUGGUAAUAUGGCCCCAGACUACCUCCCUAUGAAUAAGCAGUCUUUGUCCUUCCUCAGUGUUUCCACAGAGUAUUAUUCCUACUGUAUCUUGAGACAUAUGCCUUUCUACCUUGAUAUCAGUGAGUUGUUUAUAUGUCUGUCUCAUCUAACAGGUAAUAACUUCUUUUUCUUCUGCUUUCGUCCCAGGCACAUAACACAAUGCUAUGCACUGAGUAGACACUCAAACCAUAAUUAUUCAAUCUAAUUGCUUUGCAAGAAAAACAUAGAAAUUUGAUUUAUUUCCCUUUCUGAAUAUCUUGAAUAAAUAACCAGUAAAUAGAGGUCUCAAUUUCUUCUGAGUUAGGAACAAGUCCUUAUUCAAUUGUGACUUCUUGCAUGGUAGAAGAUGCUAAAUAUUUGGAUAUGACAUUAAAACACCAUUUUCUAUUCUGUGACCUCCUAGAGUGUUUCUCAUUAUUUUUGGAGGGUGGAGGCAUUCAAAAAUUUUUUUUUCAAAACAAAAAUUUUCUAGUUCAAUUUUAUCUAUUCACAUUCUACAGUGCGUUUAUCACCAAAUCAAACAAUAGGGCAUUUAGGACUAAAGGGGGUAGAAAUUGCUUUAGAGUUGAUGAAUCUGAUGAGUUCACAGUUCUUGAUUUUAUAUACCUAUUUAACUGACAAGGAAAUCUUUUCUUUUGUUCUACUGUAGAAUGAUACGUUGAACCAAGACAAGCAAUGUGGAACUCAACUAAUAUUCAAAGGAGAAACUAAGGGCAAAAAGAUAGGUGUACAUAAACCUUGAAUGACUUAUAGACAGAAGAACAGGGAGGGAGGUAGAUGGUUUUUCAUAUCAGCUACCAUGGAAAAGGUAAUAAUGACUCCUGUUACAGAGCUAGAAGAAAACAGUGCUGUUUUCCCUGUUACAGCGCUGGCAGCCUUAUUCCUCAUCACCCUCACUUCUCCUGGCAUCUCCCAUCCCUCCCAUCCUUCUCUCUAGGAGCCAGAGUGCAGAGAAAGGAGAAUACCUCUUAGAAAUUUCCAAUGAGCACAUUUAAGCAAUGAAAAUGUAUCAGACCUGACCAGAAUACAAUGCACUGUAUGUUUAUGAUUGAAAUUCAGAUUUGUAUUAGAUAUAAAACCUCAGCUUUUGAUGUGGAAACCAACCAGAAAGGUGUCACUUGUUCCCAUUCUGUUUCAUGUAUUACAGUCAUUCAGUUGAACUUUUCAGCGUUGAAGUCCUGAGAUUGGUUGCUGAAAUGCAUGUGUAUAUUGUAACCAAAAGAGAAAGAGGUAAUAGGGUAGAAUAACUGGGUCCAGCAUGUGCAUAGGAAUGUAACUAAAAUAAAUACUAUUGAAUAUGCAAUACUCAAGUACGGGCCCAGCACAUGGUAGCUCAAUCAGUGUGUAAUGGAGAUAGUGGGUUUUUUUGUUUUUGUUUUUUUUAAUGUUUUUAAUUUAUUUUUGAGAAUGAGUCACACAGUACUAGUGGUGGAGGGGCAGAGAGAGGGGGAGAUGCAAAAUCUGAAGCAUGGUCCAGGCUCUGAGCUGUCAGCACAGAGCCUGACAUGGGGCUCGAACUCAAAGUCGGAUGCUUAACUAGCUGAGCCACCCAGGUGCCCCUGGAGGUGGUGUUUUUUGAAGAGGGAGUCAAGAUUCAUCAUUGACCCUCAGAGUGAGAAGGGUCUUUGUGUUUGCUUGCUUUCCUUUGUUGUUGUUUGGUUUGUUGGUUUUUGUGUGAGCUUGCAGCAGAACAAUACACUUGAAAACUGGUCUUUGUGGAAAGAUAAAGGGACUCUCUACAUUCUCUCAUUAGAUCCCAUUGUCAUUGAGAGUUAGGCAGGCAGAUAUGGUUUCUUGCCACUUCCACACUAGAGGCUCUCUCUGGGGAAGGAGAAUAUGGCACAAAGUAAGGCCAUCUACUCCUGACACCCUGGAGAAUUAUGGGGAAGAGAGUCAAAGACAGAACCCAGUGGUCAGAUGAACAUGCCUUGGCUCCCCAAUCUCAGGCUGGCAUUUUGCAUUUUGUGCAGUAGGCACAUUCAGAUAGGUGUGCGUGGGCCCAAGGCACACGAUCACCCAGAACCACCUUGCAGAAAAGCAAGGGGCAGGGGAAGUAUUUAUCCAAAAGAAGUAAUUUAGUCUGGAAAAGAUUGACCUCCACCAUGAUAAUGAGCAAAUACAAAUUUUUUUAUCCCAUUCAGGUGGGCUAAAGAGGAAGAUUUGAUUAGUUGAAGAGAAACAGGCUGUAUUUUACUGCACAUUUCAGUGUGGACAUUUGAGAUCUCUGCUACAGUUGUCUUCAACAGUGACUGUUUUCAUUUCUAUAUGUUUUUGUUUACACUUCUACUUGGAUCCAGUUUCUUUGUAGUGAUCUCACUUCACUUCCUUCUUCUUGGUACUCCACGGUUGUCUCCUUACUUGUCUCUUUCUCUUCUCUUUCUUUUUUUUUUCAACAAAAGCUAUCAACUCUUUUCAAUGAAUUUUUGACACAGAUCCUCUAAACAAAUAUCUCUUUCAGUUUCCAGAAGUUGUCAUCAAGGUUAUCUAUAUUUGUGUGAGAUAUUUGGGUGCCAUCCAAAAGAGAUGCAGAAAUAAGUAAGAAAAGAGUCUUGUGCUUUGGCUUUAAUUCUAGAAGAAAGGAAAAUCUGAGGAUGUUCUAAUUAUUGCACUAAAUGUGUCUCGAUGCCCUUGGUUGUUUAAUUUUCCUUAUGAAUGCUUUAACUAAAGAUUUACAUUUAUUUUGGCACAUUUAUUACAUUUCUCAUUACAUUUACUUACAUUUAUUUUUGUUUGAUCUCUCUACUGACCUUGAUUUUAUUUUACAAUUUUCUGGUUUUCCACCUUUCGAUUUCUACUAUCAAGAACAUGCAACUGCUACUCAAUCUCUUUUGAAAAAUUUGUCCCUUUCUCUCUAGGGAUUUUAUUUUUCUGUAAUCAGCCUGGCCCCUUGGACUCACUUUUAAGGCCACACACAACUAAACCUUGCUUUGUCUUGUCGACUCUGCCUUCCAAUUGCACACAAGGCCUACUUUUAAGUUUUAUCUUGUUACUAAUGAUAAGGACCAUGACCUAAAGGCUCUUCUUUAGUCUUCCCUCAGCACGUGUGUGAGAGCUGAGGGAAUAACAAAAUGCUCAGGACAGGGGCGUGGUUUAUAAUCUAUAACAUAUCAUGCCAAGCAGAUUUUUUAGGUGAGAAGAAGUAUUCUGAAGAAAGACUCUCUCAUAAUGUUGUAGUUCAAGGAAUUUAAGACAAACGGAAGGAUACAAAGCUCACCUCUUGGGUGGUCUCUUAGCAUUUUAGAGAUUGAAGUCAAUUCUAAAGAGAAAUUUAUGGAAAGACAAGGAAAAAAUAGAAAAAGAAAUAAUGAUGUCUACACUGUAUACAGAUCUAGGCUAGGGCACUGUAUUAAAUCACAAGUACUUUGUGUUCUGCUUCCUCUUUUUGAUAGGGUGAUAUAUACCUACCACAUACUAUGAGGUGUAUUGAUAAUUGAAGAGUGAGAAAAAUCAGGUAAUAGAAAAGACCACACUCUUCUUUACAUUGCUUCUGUGAGUGAAAAAAAUAACUUGGAGAUUUUGGUCUUUUUACAAUAAAGCUUCUAAUGUUUUCCUUUUAGAAAUUAGUAAGAUGCAAAAGUCAAUGCUCUGCUGUUCAGUUAACCAGACUUGUUUUUUAAAAAAAAAAGAGAGAAGAAAGAAAGGAAGAAAGAAAGAAAGAAAAAAAGAAAGAAAGAAAGAAAGAAAAGGAAAAAAAAAACUGUUUCCAGGCAAAGAGCAGAGGACGUGGGAAUAACAUCCUCCAUUCAGCUCCAACCCCUCAAAAGCUCAUUUGUAGGACUGGGUAAACACACACCUUCCGCAUUCUAUUUUUGAAAUUACGUUGAGGAAUAUACAGACUGUUAUCUGUAAAAAAAGCAACUUUUCAAACUUUAGUUGAUAUAAAAUGUUCCAAAAUGCCUGAACAGAGUAAUUAUUUUUAAAUUUUUUUUUUCAACGUUUAUUUAUUUUUGGGACAGAGAGAGACAGAGCAUGAAUGGGGGAGGAGCAGAGAGAGAGGGAGACACAGAAUCGGAAACAGGCUCCAGGCUCUGAGCCAUCAGCCCAGAGCCCGACGCGGGGCUCGAACUCACGGACCGCGAGAUCGUGACCUGGCUGAAGUCGGACGCUUAACCGACUGCGCCACCCAGGCGCCCCAAUUUUUUAAAGUAUAUAAAAGCAUUCACAAUUUAUAUGCAUUUGCUCUAAAAUUUUAUCAUUAUCAGUGCACUGCAACUUCCCUAUAUGAAUAUAGAACUGUCUCAUAUUAGUUUUGUACAUAGUUUAUACCUUUUUAAUAGUUGGGGAAUCCACUGUCAUGUAUUCUUUUCUUUUAUUUUAAAAGCUAUAAUGACUAAUCCUGAUCCUCUACCAGAAUAUAAACUUAAAAAUGAUUCCAUUAAAAGGAAUAACUAAA
Molecule: long non-coding RNA, 17830 nt
Filed under: Lynx pardinus (Iberian lynx)
Lineage: Eukaryota; Metazoa; Chordata; Mammalia; Carnivora; Felidae
Source: RNAcentral